AAAACGACUCUCGGCAACGGAUAUCUCGGCUCUCGCAUCGAUGAAGAACGUAGCGAAAUGCGAUACUUGGUGUGAAUUGCAGAAUCCCGUGAACCAUCGAGUCUUUGAACGCAAGUUGCGCCCGAAGCCCCCGGGCCGAGGGCACGUCUGCCUGGGCGUCACGC
RNAcentral lists this ribosomal RNA (164 nucleotides) under Suaeda monoica. Its description in RNAcentral is "5.8S ribosomal RNA". It matches the Rfam family "5.8S ribosomal RNA". From Rfam's summary of the family: 5.8S ribosomal RNA (5.8S rRNA) is a component of the large subunit of the eukaryotic ribosome. It is transcribed by RNA polymerase I as part of the 45S precursor that also contains 18S and 28S rRNA. Functionally, it is thought that 5.8S rRNA may be involved in ribosome translocation. Lineage: Eukaryota; Viridiplantae; Streptophyta; Magnoliopsida; Caryophyllales; Amaranthaceae. The record is from RNAcentral.